CAUGCAGUCGAGCGAACAGACGAGGAGCUUGCUCCUCUGACGUUAGCGGCGGACGGGUGAGUAACACGUGGAUAACCUACCUAUAAGACUGGGAUAACUUCGGGAAACCGGAGCUAAUACCGGAUAAUAUAUUGAACCGCAUGGUUCAAUAGUGAAAGACGGUUUUGCUGUCACUUAUAGAUGGAUCCGCGCCGCAUUAGCUAGUUGGUAAGGUAACGGCUUACCAAGGCAACGAUGCGUAGCCGACCUGAGAGGGUGAUCGGCCACACUGGAACUGAGACACGGUCCAGACUCCUACGGGAGGCAGCAGUAGGGAAUCUUCCGCAAUGGGCGAAAGCCUGACGGAGCAACGCCGCGUGAGUGAUGAAGGUCUUCGGAUCGUAAAACUCUGUUAUUAGGGAAGAACAAAUGUGUAAGUAACUAUGCACGUCUUGACGGUACCUAAUCAGAAAGCCACGGCUAACUACGUGCCAGCAGCCGCGGUAAUACGUAGGUGGCAAGCGUUAUCCGGAAUUAUUGGGCGUAAAGCGCGCGUAGGCGGUUUUUUAAGUCUGAUGUGAAAGCCCACGGCUCAACCGUGGAGGGUCAUUGGAAACUGGAAAACUUGAGUGCAGAAGAGGAAAGUGGAAUUCCAUGUGUAGCGGUGAAAUGCGCAGAGAUAUGGAGGAACACCAGUGGCGAAGGCGACUUUCUGGUCUGUAACUGACGCUGAUGUGCGAAAGCGUGGGGAUCAAACAGGAUUAGAUACCCUGGUAGUCCACGCCGUAAACGAUGAGUGCUAAGUGUUAGGGGGUUUCCGCCCCUUAGUGCUGCAGCUAACGCAUUAAGCACUCCGCCUGGGGAGUACGACCGCAAGGUUGAAACUCAAAGGAAUUGACGGGGACCCGCACAAGCGGUGGAGCAUGUGGUUUAAUUCGAAG
This 920-nucleotide ribosomal RNA is filed under the name Staphylococcus sp. YC6894. RNAcentral's name for it is "bacterial SSU rRNA". It matches the Rfam family "Bacterial small subunit ribosomal RNA", at positions 54 to 956 of the family's 1533-position model. The record is from RNAcentral. Lineage: Bacteria; Bacillati; Bacillota; Bacilli; Caryophanales; Staphylococcaceae.